AACGUAGGAGCCAAGCGUUAUCCGAAUUCACUGGGCGUAAAGCGCGUGCAGGCGGCUGGGUAAGUCAGUGGUGAAAGCCUCCAGCUCAACUGGAGAACUGCCAUUGAUACUGCCGGGCUUGAGUACAGACGAGGUUGGCGGAAUUGAUUGUGUAGCGGUGAAAUGCAUAGAUACAAUCAAGAACUCCGAUUGCGUAGGCAGCUAACUAGGCUGUAACUGACGCUGAGGCACGAAAGCGUGGGGAGCGAACAGG
This 253-nucleotide ribosomal RNA is filed under the name uncultured bacterium. RNAcentral describes it as "partial 16S ribosomal RNA". It matches the Rfam family "Bacterial small subunit ribosomal RNA", at positions 524 to 776 of the family's 1533-position model. The record is from RNAcentral.